This 491-nucleotide ribosomal RNA is filed under the name uncultured bacterium. Its description in RNAcentral is "partial 16S ribosomal RNA". It matches the Rfam family "Bacterial small subunit ribosomal RNA", at positions 29 to 506 of the family's 1533-position model. The record is from RNAcentral.
AGUGAACGCUGGCGGUAGGCCUAACACAUGCAAGUCGAACGGCAGCACAGUAAGAGCUUGCUCUUACGGGUGGCGAGUGGCGGACGGGUGAGGAAUACAUCGGAAUCUACUUUUUCGUGGGGGAUAACGUAGGGAAACUUACGCUAAUACCGCAUACGACCUACGGGUGAAAGCAGGGGAUCUUCGGACCUUGCGCGAUUGAAUGAGCCGAUGUCGGAUUAGCUAGUUGGCGGGGUAAAGGCCCACCAAGGCGACGAUGCGUAGCUGGUCUGAGAGGAUGAUCAGCCACACUGGAACUGAGACACGGUCCAGACUCCUACGGGGGGCAGCAGUGGGGAAUAUUGGACAAUGGGCGCAAGCCUGAUCCAGCCAUACCGCGUGGGUGAAGAAGGCCUUCGGGUUGUAAAGCCCUUUUGUUGGGAAAGAAAAGCAGCAGGUUAACACCGCGCUGUUCUGACGGUACCCAAAGAAUAAGCACCGGCUAACUUCGU